Molecule: non-coding RNA, 145 nt
Organism: Gossypium hirsutum (cotton)
Lineage: Eukaryota; Viridiplantae; Streptophyta; Magnoliopsida; Malvales; Malvaceae
Source: Rfam
UGUUAAAAAUUUCAUCAAUUUUUACUUUUAAAAACUGCAGUGGCCGACAAAAUGACCAGAUAGUAAAAUGUGGUGCACUACAUGUACCUUAUGUUGACGUACAAAAACUAAUUUUUAAUAGUAAAAAUAGAUGAAAUUUUUAACU